Molecule: ribosomal RNA, 274 nt
Filed under: uncultured bacterium
Lineage: Bacteria
Description: partial 16S ribosomal RNA
Rfam family: Bacterial small subunit ribosomal RNA
Source: RNAcentral
CUACAGAGGGUGCGAGCGUUAAGCGGAAUUACUGGGCGUAAAGCGCGCGUAGGCGGCUUAUUAAGUCAGAUGUGAAAUCCCCGGGCUCAACCUGGGAACUGCAUCUGAUACUGGUAAGCUAGAGUUUGGGAGAGGGAAGUAGAAUUUCAGGUGUAGCGGUGAAAUGCAUAGAGAUCUGAAGGAAUACCAGUGGCGAAGGCGACUUCCUGGCCUAAAACUGACGCUGAGGUGCGAAAGCGUGGGUAGCAAACGGGAUUAGAAACCCCUGUAGUCC